This is a long non-coding RNA of Pantherophis guttatus, 739 nucleotides long. RefSeq lists it as uncharacterized. NCBI's taxonomy places the organism in Eukaryota, Metazoa, Chordata, Lepidosauria, Squamata, Colubridae. The record is from RefSeq and is a predicted model, not a curated record.
CAGAUGCUAGUGUCAGAGGAACAUGCUCCAUAGCAUUGCUUUUGGCAUCUGGAUUAUCCAAUGUCCUCCAAGAUGGAAGAGAAGGAAGAGUGACAAGCUACCUAAUAUGAUAAGUGAUAAGUCAUUCACAAAUAAGGAACCCAACUACAGUAAUCAGAUAGUCAUUCCCAGGUUUAGUAUGGACCUCCAACCUGAGACAGCCCCUGCCUGAAAUCCAACACUUUCCAUUUGGAACCCCAAAAGGCACAGAUGUAGACCACCCUUUUAAUGUUUAUAACCUUAAGCCUGUAGGAUAAGUUCCACUGAUAGGCCAAGCAUAUUUUCCAUACUAAGGAAGAGCUUAGGGUGUGACAAGAAAAUCACCAGUUUAUUCACUCUGACAGGCACCACUACCAAGAAUUCCCUGCAAGAUCAGCAGCCUGCUGUGUUAUGAUCAUAGGACAUCUUCACCACCGCAUAAAUAGCAGAAACAGAUGAAUGCCACUCUACAUUCUGGCCACCAAUCACCAGUUGAAGUUCCCCAGUCUUUCUGCAGUAUGAAUGAGUUUUGAAGAUGGGGAAUGACUCAUCACUUUUAACUGAUAAACCACUUGUUAGCAUAAAAUCAAACUUCUUUUGUUUUUGCAGUUUACCAUAUUUUUAUUAGACAUUUUAGAAGAAAUAUAUAAGCAGGGAAGGAAAAGGACAAAAGAAAGGAUAAAGGACCAGAAUGCAGAUGAAUAAACAAUGCAUUUACAAA